Dalotia coriaria is the source of this 661-nucleotide long non-coding RNA. RefSeq lists it as uncharacterized. The record is from RefSeq and is a predicted model, not a curated record. Lineage: Eukaryota; Metazoa; Arthropoda; Insecta; Coleoptera; Staphylinidae. The transcript is spliced from 2 exons.
UCUUUUUCCGCUCUGCGCGAGAGCGCGCCCGCUGAAUUUAUAUAAAGUGUGUAAUUAAGUACGCACACCAGAAGAAAAAGGGUCGCGGAGAUGAGGGGGGCGGUUGAUGAGCGCGUCGGAAUUAAAAUUUUCGUAUUGACUCAGAUCUUUGCAGUGGGGGAAAUUAUUUGCGACGUGCAUGUGGAAAGCCCUUGGCCGCUGUGGUAAUUAACUUUUUUUGUAUGACGGCAUUUUUCUGAGAGUUGCAAAAGGAUUUGAAAUUUUAAAUGAGCACGUACAAAUUUGGACAGGCAUAUGUUUUAAUUUUUUAUAAAGUGUACAACUUUUGUUGGUUAUUGCGGUCGCCUGGCACCCGUUGUAUAAUUGAAGAGAGCGCAGAAGAAUGAAAAGAAGUGGAGCAGUCGGAGGUGGGCCCGCAACAAACGCGAAAGUGUCGUAAAGGACAAAGCGAACGACCAGCAAACAUCUGCAAAGGGUCUCUCGUUGGGCAAUUAGCGGCGAGGCAAGCAGGAAAGGAAAGCGAGUCUCAUGACAUUGCAUUCGUUUUCUGCUUUGAAUGUCAGCGGGUUUCAGCGAGUUUUUAUUUUUCCCAAACAAGUUCCUCACAAAUGGCAACCUGUGUAUGUUUGAUGUUUGCAUAAAUUAAAAAUAUUUACCCGAA